UCAGGAUGACAGAGUGAAGUCAAAGGAACAAUAAUAUUGUGUUAAUCUCCUUUCCAUGGCUGAAACUCUAUCAGCAUAUAACAAUAACCCUUUGCUAUUCUUUCUCUGAUACUUUUCCUCCCGCAUUGAAAUCCCAGAAGAAAAAAAGCAAGUUGAACCUCUUUAAGAGAAACAGUGUUGGCUUCUUGUUAGAAAUAGUGUUUCUUCUUCUACUUUUAGAAUUUGGGUUUGCGAUGACUGCUGCCUAGCUGGAGCUAUCAGGAUUUUCUCGGAAAAUGGAAUGAGAAAGAUGAUGGAGAGAAAGGUCGAAAACAAUGAAGAUAUUCAAAACUACUUCAAUGGAACCACAUAUUUCAGUUUCAAGCGAAGAACCGACGAAGGGUUCGAAGAGUUCCCAGUUGCCCAGACCCUCUUCACAACUAGUAGACAAUUAUUUUAACCUAGAUCUCCUCCAUUUUCUUCUGAAUCUUGUCGAUUGAUUCGUAUCCAAAAACCCACGUUUUCCCGCAUCAUGACCUUGCUGGUGUUUUGGUGGAAAAAACGAUGGUAUUUUGGAAUUUCUUUAUGUACUUCCUUUUGGAUCCUUUUUCUCUAGAAACAAACAUGUUUUUCUCUGCA
Molecule: long non-coding RNA, 618 nt
Organism: Hibiscus syriacus
Lineage: Eukaryota; Viridiplantae; Streptophyta; Magnoliopsida; Malvales; Malvaceae
Exons: 2
Source: RefSeq, a predicted model, not a curated record